GACGAACGCUGGCGGCGUGCUUAACACAUGCAAGUCGAACGGAAAGGCCCUGCUUUUGUGGGGUGCUCGAGUGGCGAACGGGUGAGUAACACGUGAGUAACCUGCCCUUGACUUUGGGAUAACUUCAGGAAACUGGGGCUAAUACCGGAUAGGAGCUCCUGCUGCAUGGUGGGGGUUGGAAGGUUUCGGCGGUUGGGGAUGGACUCGCGGCUUAUCAGCUUGUUGGUGGGGUAGUGGCUUACCAAGGCUUUGACGGGUAGCCGGCCUGAGAGGGUGACCGGCCACAUUGGGACUGAGAUGCGGCCCAGCCUCCUACGGGAGGCAGCAGUGGGGAAUAUUGCACAAUAGGCGGAGGCCUGAUGCAGCAACGCCGCGUGCGGGAUGACGGCCUUCGGGUUGUAAACCGCUUUCGCCUGUGACGAAGCGUGAGUGACGGUAAUGGGUAAAGAAGCACCGGCUAACUACGUG
Molecule: ribosomal RNA, 468 nt
Filed under: uncultured bacterium
Lineage: Bacteria
Description: partial 16S ribosomal RNA
Rfam family: Bacterial small subunit ribosomal RNA
Source: RNAcentral